CCUACGGGAGGCAGCAGUGGGGAAUAUUGGGCAAUGGAGGAAACUCUGACCCAGCGACGCCGCGUGAGGGAUGAAGGCCUUCGGGUUGUAAACCUCUUUCAGUAGGGAAGAAGCGAAAGUGACGGUACCUACAGAAGAAGCACCGGCUAACUAUGUGCCAGCAGCCGCGGUAAUACAUAGGGUGCAAGCGUUGUCCGGAAUUAUUGGGCGUAAAGAGCUCGUAGGUGGUUCGAUACGUCGGAUGUGAAAAUCAGGGGCUCAACCCCUGACCUGCAUCCGAUACGGUCGAGCUAGAGUUUGGUAGGGGAGACUGGAAUUCCUGGUGUAGCGGUGGAAUGCGCAGAUAUCAGGAGGAACACCGAUGGCGAAGGCAGGUCUCUGGGCCAAUACUGACACUGAGGAGCGAAAGCGUGGGGAGCGAACAGGAUUAGAUACCCUGGUAGUCCACGCCGUAAACGGUGGGCGCUAGUUGUGCGAACCUUCCGACGGUUUGUGCGACGCAGCUACGCAUAAGUCGCCCGCCGUCGGGAGGUACGAGCGCGAGAAUAAACUAACAAAGAAGUUAGACGGCGUGAGACGNGCCGACGGACGACGACGAGGGAGGAGG
RNAcentral lists this ribosomal RNA (607 nucleotides) under uncultured bacterium. RNAcentral describes it as "bacterial SSU rRNA". The stretch from base 1 to 523 matches the Rfam family "Bacterial small subunit ribosomal RNA", at positions 338 to 873 of the family's 1533-position model. The record is from RNAcentral.